This 492-nucleotide ribosomal RNA is filed under the name uncultured bacterium. Its description in RNAcentral is "partial 16S ribosomal RNA". It matches the Rfam family "Bacterial small subunit ribosomal RNA", at positions 29 to 507 of the family's 1533-position model. The record is from RNAcentral.
AGUGAACGCUGGCGGUAGGCCUAACACAUGCAAGUCGAACGGCAGCACAGUAAGAGCUUGCUCUUACGGGUGGCGAGUGGCGGACGGGUGAGGAAUACAUCGGAAUCUACUUUUUCGUGGGGGAUAACGUAGGGAAACUUACGCUAAUACCGCAUACGACCUACGGGUGAAAGCAGGGGAUCUUCGUACCUUGCGCGAUUGAAUGAGCCGAUGUCGGAUUAUCUAGUUGGCGGGGUAAAGGCCCACCAAGGCGACGAUCCGUAGCUGGUCUGAGAGGAUGAUCAGCCACACUGGAACUGAGACACGGUCCAGAAUCCUACGGGAGGCAGAAGUGGGGAAUAUUGGACAAUGGGCGCAAGCCUGAUCCAGCCAUACCGCGUGGGUGAAGAAGGCCUUCGGGUUGUAAAGCCCUUUUGUUGGGAAAGAAAAGCAGAAGGUUAAUACCCCGCUGUUCUGACGGUACCCAAAGAAUAAGCACCGGCUAACUUCGUG